This is a non-coding RNA of Biomphalaria pfeifferi, 1029 nucleotides long. The record is from the annotation of a GenBank genome assembly. Lineage: Eukaryota; Metazoa; Mollusca; Gastropoda; Planorbidae.
GAAACAGAUGAUGGAUCAACAUCCUGAAAAAUACAAGACAGCAAAUUAGUUAUAGUGAACAUAACAUACACAGCAAAUAGAAAAUUUAGGAAGAACUAAAAGUAUUUGGUGGCCCAAUGGCUAAGUGGUAAAGUGAUUGGCUUCCAACUGGGGGUCUCAUUUUUUAAUUCUGGGAUCAUCUGCCUCAUAGAUUAAAAUUUUUUUUUAACACUUAACACAAUAAAAACUAUUCAUCUAUAUCAAGAGAAGACUUUUUUUCUUUAAUAAUUCUAUCUUGUGGACUCUAAGCAAUUUUACCGCCUUGCUUUUUGAUCAACCUCUGCUUAGAAGAUCAGUACUGAAUAUUCACCAGCAAAAUUUGUAGGAUUACACAGCCAUCCCCUAAAGACAUAAAUAACUUUCAUUAUCAGACUUACUAUUUACAUUAUUGAAAUACCCAUAUAUGUUUUAAUUAUCAAUAUAUUUAAAUUACAAAUAUUCAACAAUACAAAACACCUAUAUUAUAUUUAUAUACCAGUGUCACAUCUUGAUGGUGUGAGAAUGUUGUUUGAAUUGUAUUAGGGCCUCUUCUGGCCUUGAUGUAGUAUUCUUGUAUUAUCAAUUAAAUCACAACACAUAUUAUGGAUAAAAUAAUCACAAACUCCUCUCUGGCAGAUGAAUAUUUAUUACAUCAAAUAAUAGCUCACAAAAUAGGCAAUCUCAGCCAUAGAAUAUCAUCACAAAUUACUUCAUAUAGAAUACAAAUUACAUCCAUAGAAAAUCUCCACAUAGAUAUCCAUAAUAUUCAUUACAUUUUCUUAAAACCAGAGACACCUCCGUCUCUCGAUGCAUCAUGGCGCUAACUAACUAAAACAUCUGGUCAUGUGAUCAGGUACCCCCUUUCUCAACAAUGUACAAGUCCCCAUUCUCACAUGAACUGAAAUCAUCUCGUGCAUCUCACUCUAAUUAUAGUUUUACAACCAGUAUUACAAAAAUUUAAAUUAAAAAAAAAUCACAAUACUGGUACCUCUGGUAAUUUGUAUAUUCUUG